This 460-nucleotide ribosomal RNA is filed under the name uncultured bacterium. RNAcentral describes it as "partial 16S ribosomal RNA". It matches the Rfam family "Bacterial small subunit ribosomal RNA", at positions 338 to 795 of the family's 1533-position model. The record is from RNAcentral.
CCUACGGGAGGCAGCAGUGAGGAAUAUUGGUCAAUGGACGAGAGUCUGAACCAGCCAAGUAGCGUGAAGGAUGACUGCCCUAUGGGUUGUAAACCUCUUUUAUAUGGGAAUAAAAUGUUCCACGUGUGGGCGUUUGUAUGUACCAUAUGAAUAAGCAUCGGCUAACUCCGUGCCAGCAGCCGCGGUAAUACGGAGGAUCCGAGCGUUAUCCGGAUUUAUUGGGUUUAAAGGGAGCGUAGGUGGAUUGUUAAGUCAGUUGUGAAAGUUUGCGGCUCAACCGUAAAAUUGCAGUUGAAACUGGCAGGCUUGAGUACGGUAGAGGUAGGCGGAAUUCGUGGUGUAGCGGUGAAAUGCUUAGAUAUCACGAAGAACUCCGAUUGCGAAGGCAGCUCACUGGACUGCAACUGACACUGAGGCUCGAAAGUGUGGGUAUCAAACAGGAUUAGAUACCCUUGUAGUC